CCUACGGGCGGCAGCAGUGGGGGAUAUUGCACAAUGGGGGGAACCCUGAUGCAGCGACGCCGCGUGUGGGAAGACGGUCCUCUGGAUUGUAAACCACUGUCCCCAGGGACGAAAAUGACGGUACCUGGGGAGGAAGCUCCGGCUAACUACGUGCCAACAGCCGCGGUAAUACGUAGGGAGCGAGCGUUGUCCGGAAUUACUGGGUGUAAAGGGAGCGUAGGCGGGGAUGCAAGUUGGGUGUCAAAACUACCGGCUCAACUGGUAGUCGCACUCAAACCUGCAGCUCUUGAGUGAAGUAGAGGCAGGCGGAAUUCCUAGUGGAGCGGUGAAAUGCGUAGAUAUUAGGAGGAACACCAGUGGCGAAGGCGGCCUGCUGGGCUUUUACUGACGCUGAGGCUCGAAAGUGUGGGGAGCAAACAGGAUUAGAUACCCUGGUAGUC
This 440-nucleotide ribosomal RNA is filed under the name uncultured bacterium. RNAcentral describes it as "partial 16S ribosomal RNA". It matches the Rfam family "Bacterial small subunit ribosomal RNA", at positions 338 to 795 of the family's 1533-position model. The record is from RNAcentral.